RNAcentral lists this ribosomal RNA (206 nucleotides) under Staphylococcus aureus. RNAcentral's name for it is "partial 23S ribosomal RNA". It matches the Rfam family "Bacterial large subunit ribosomal RNA", at positions 1560 to 1765 of the family's 2925-position model. The record is from RNAcentral. Lineage: Bacteria; Bacillati; Bacillota; Bacilli; Caryophanales; Staphylococcaceae.
GCUGUGAUGGGGAGAAGACAUUGUGUCUUCGAGUCGUUGAUUUCACACUGCCGAGAAAAGCCUCUAGAUAGAAAAUAGGUGCCCGUACCGCAAACCGACACAGGUAGUCAAGAUGAGAAUUCUAAGGGGAGCGAGCGAACUCUCGUUAAGGAACUCGGCAAAAUGACCCCGUAACUUCGGGAGAAGGGGUGCUCUUUAGGGUUAAC